UGUCUCUGUCGCUGGAGUUGGGUAAACGGCAACGAUUACACUUAAUUCUCGCAGCCACCAUUACACUCAACAUUAACGUCAUUCAUUCAAGCUAAUCCCACCAACCUUUCUUUAAUUUAGCUUAAUCACACCUGAGGAGCUUAAUUCUGUGUAUAUACACACCAGAAAAUUGUAGUUGAAGACUGGCUGAUACAAACAAAUGAUGAAGGGAUAUGCACUUUCUCAUCUUUAGCCACAAAUCAGAUCAGAGUAACGGAUGAAGGGUGGUGAAUUGAUGCGAAGGCUAAACACCUUCAGACAUGUCUUGCAAGAAGGCUCGGUUUAUGAGCUAUAUGUCUUCGAUGUGGCAAGAAGCAACCCGGGAUUCAAGUUUGGGGAUGCACUCGGGAUUCAAGUUUGGGGAUGCUCUUGUCACUACAAGAAAGCAGGCGGAUACUGACGGACGAAUUCGUCAGAAUAUCGUCGGAAUAGACAUAUUUUGACGAAUAUCUGACGAAACUGUCCGUCGGUAUCAUUUCGUCGGAAUUUCGAAUUUCGUCGGAAUUUCGUCAGCCGCACCGACGAAUUUCUGACGAAUACCGAGAAACUUUAUUCUGACGAACUUCUGAGCACAUUCUGAUAACAGCUCCGACAACAGUGGUCAUCGGAAAAUUGGAAAUACUGACGAACCAUGUCCCUCGGAAAAUACUGACGAACCAUAUC
This is a long non-coding RNA of Raphanus sativus (radish), 702 nucleotides long. RefSeq lists it as uncharacterized. The transcript has 3 exons. NCBI's taxonomy places the organism in Eukaryota, Viridiplantae, Streptophyta, Magnoliopsida, Brassicales, Brassicaceae. The record is from RefSeq and is a predicted model, not a curated record.